CGUGGCCGCCCGCCAUGGCCCCGCCGGCGGCACCCGCAAUGGCCCCGCCGCGCCGCCACCCAUGGCCCGGGCAUGCUGCUGCCGCCCUGCAUUGUCGAGGGCGAGGCAGGGCUGCCAGUUGUGGGUAGAAGAACUAGUGGACCCCGCGUGGAAGUGAGAGGAGGGAAGAUGGUCGAGGUGGGCUGUUGCUUGUGUGCUGGGCCAGUGGGGUGAAAAGAACUGGGCUUAUGAGAUUUAUGGGGUGGAGUUCUCCCAAACAUAAUGAGAAAAAAUUGAUGGAGUGGUACUGAAUGGUGGAGUGGAGCAGAUUUUUUUGAAGUGGAGUGCUCUCAAACAAACCCAUAGUCAAAUAAUCUACUAAUGGUUUCUCGAUCUUUCAGGCUUCGUUUGUUGAGAGAGCCAGGCAACCAAUGCAAAGCACAUGACCGAGCCAGGCAACCAACGCAAUGCAAUAGGCAAAUGCUACUCGUACUAAUCCAUGACAGACCACUGAUGAUUUCACCAAUGCGGAUAUUCUUGAAGUCACUUAUCCUGCUGUGGCAAAGAGGCUAAAUGGAGAUUGGAUGGAUGGCCCUGCCAUUCCCAUAGUCACUGGUUUUCUUGGGAAGGGAUGUAAAUCAUGUGCUGUCACCACAUUAGGCAGGGGUGGUUGUGACUUGACUGCUACAUCUAUUGGCAAAGCUUUGGGAUUAAGAGAAGUCCAGGUUUGUUUUCAAUGUCACAGAUCCUUACAUUAAUGCAUAUGGAAUGCCUGUGUUUGGUUCGGGUUCAUUAAGUUUUUACGAUCAAUAAGUUGUUCAGGGCUUUAGAUCCUCUAAUAAUAUUACUAUUAAUGUACUUUCAUUACCCUAGCUUACUUGGGUCUAACAGGCUCUGUUGUUGUUGCAAGCUGUUCAUAUGCUUAAUAAAAACUACAAGUCCCCUGUAACUGAUUUGCUAAUUCUUUCUUUUUUAUAGGUUUGGAAGGAUGUAGAUGGUGUGCUGACAUGUGAUCCUAAUAUUUAUGCAAAUGCGAUACCCGUCCCCUACUUGACUUAUCUUGAUCAGAAGUUUUAGUUUACAUGAUCAUUCUGCUUUGCCUUUCUUUUUUUUUUGUUGGUUUAGGAGGUUAGAUGUGCAGGCAGAAAAUUUUAUUAACUGGUAACCUUGUUGUUUAAUUUAUUUCUGCUAUAACUUGUUAUACAUACCUAUCGUUAGGUUUUGCAUCCUCAAUCAAUGCGGCCUGCUAGGGAUGGUGAUAUACCAGUUAGAGUUAAGAACUCAUACAAUCGUCAUUCGCCUGGUACAGUCAUCACUAAAGACAGAUAUGAGCAAGGUCUGUUGUGUUCUCGUGUACUGAUAUACCAGUUAGCGAUGUUGCUGCAUGCCAGGCAUUCAGUGUUCUGCGAAGAAAUGGUGUUAACGUGCAGAUGAUCUCACAAGGGGCAUACAAGGUGAACAUUUCCUUGGUAGUCAAUGACAUUGAGGCAAAACAGUGUGUGCAAGCCCUCCAUUCGGCAUUCUUUGAGAACGGCUUCAUGUCAGAAGUCGAGGGAGCUGAUGUUCCCCAGAACGGCGCCUCUCUGAACUCAAACGGUGCUACCUAUGGAAACUAGUCGACUCUGCAAUUGCAUUCUCCCCAAUUGUUGUGCCAUUAAUAGGUUGAGUGGUGAUUCGUAGCAAUUUAUUUAGGUCACCCAAACGAAAUCCUUGCUGUUGUAAGAGCUUACCAGGAACAGUUUGCAUUGUAUGCCAUUGUUUACCAUGUGAUCGGGUGCUACCAAGUAGUAACCAAUGUCCAAUGGUCUUGGGGAUC
This is a long non-coding RNA of Panicum virgatum (switchgrass), 1795 nucleotides long. RefSeq lists it as uncharacterized. NCBI's taxonomy places the organism in Eukaryota, Viridiplantae, Streptophyta, Magnoliopsida, Poales, Poaceae. The record is from RefSeq and is a predicted model, not a curated record. The transcript is spliced from 3 exons.